CCCUUAGAUGUUCUGGGCUGCACGCGCGCUACACUGAAGCGUUCAACGAGUAUUCACCUUGCCCGGGAGGGUUGGGUAAUCUUUUGAAAACGCUUCGUGAUGGGGAUAGAUUAUUGCAAUUAUUAAUCUUCAACGAGGAAUUCCUAGUAAGCGCGAGUCAUCAGCUCGUGCUGAUUACGUCCCUGCCCUUUGUACACACCGCCCGUCACUCCUACCGAUUGAGUGAUCCGGUGAAUAAUUCGGACUGCAGCACUGCUUGGUCUCCAGGCUUUGCAGCGGAAAGUUUAGUGAACCUUAUCACUUAGAGGAAGGAGAANUCGUAACA
This 325-nucleotide ribosomal RNA is filed under the name uncultured eukaryote. Its description in RNAcentral is "partial 18S ribosomal RNA". It matches the Rfam family "Eukaryotic small subunit ribosomal RNA", at positions 1470 to 1796 of the family's 1831-position model. The record is from RNAcentral.